CUAUUAUAUAUUAGGCAUUCAGCUAAUACUGGGUCACAUCUUUGUGAAUCUGCAGGUAAAUGCCUUUCCCAAGUGAAGAUUUUUCUGUUUCCAGAACUUCACUUCAGAGAGCUUCCCAUGCUUGAGUCAUGCAUUAGCUUGUGACAAGUUAUUUUUUAACAACUUUUCUUCCCGGCAGUCACCACCUGUGAUGAAAACACAGAGGAGGAAGUUACAUCCCAGCGGCUAAGAAUAAUAGCAAGCAGUCUUUUGAACUAUUUAGCUGGAGGAAAUGAUGAAAAGUUAUUGAGUCAUCAGAUGUAUUUCCCUCUGUUUUCUCAGGAGAUGUUUUCUACUUCCUGUGAGACAGACCCAGGAAAAUUUGCUGAAGAGCAGGCAAUUGGUGUGAGAUCUUCUGCAAACAUUCUUUCACUGAAGGAAGAAGAGAGCAAACAGCAUGAAGGAAGAGGGACCAAACAGCAGAGAUGGCACAUAGCUUGGGAGUUAGAAGAGGCUGCUGGAUAGGUUAAAACAGUAGAGUUCACUUGGGAAUCUGACUGUAUUGUGGGAGGAUCUUUCUCCAUCCUUCUGUCUGGAAGAGCAGCUCCCACCCAGAGAGCACUGGGAGAGUGCGCUCCACACCUCCAGGCCAUUGGUCAGCUCACGGAGACGGCAUCACCACCACGAAGGCAGCCUCCUCCUCUGUGUGACUUCAGAGCAGGGAGAGGACAGGGUCCUGCUGCUGCUUCACAAGAGAGGAACCUACAGGCUAAAUGCCACUUGGAAGCUGCUGAGAAGGACCCACUGGCCAUGGGGGACCAAUGCCCACUACUGAAGAUGAACUUGCUUGCUCUUCUCCGCAACAGCAAAGCCAAAUGAUGUCUGACCUGCCACUCAAGUUUCCAGUUACAGAAAAGACCCUGCUUCAUUCAGCCUGCCCACCCCAGCUGCCCUGAUCUCAAAGUGCAGACAGAUCACAGGUACUGACCUCAACAUCACCUAUCAAAAAGGCAGCUAGUUCUUAGCAGGUAAUCACCUGGGUUUUAUCCAGAAUUGUGUGUGUGUAUGUGUGAUUGAGAGAGAGAAGGAAGGAGGGAGGGAAUAAAGAGGGAGAAAUAGGCACAGUUCUGAUUGCUGUCAGCUGCGCAAUCUUGCUCGACUGUGGCUUGCAGGGCACUCAGAACUCUUGGGAAGUUGAGGCAAGGGAAGCGGGCAUUUCCAGCCACAAAGCCUGCUUUGUAUACAAUUUGUUUGCCGGGGCAGAAAGAAUUGGUGAGCUCUUGAUGCUAACUCAGAAUAAUAUUGGUCAGGGGAGAGGGUGAUUUACUCAAGAUGUGCAGCUUCCUUUUAUUGAAAUGUUUUAAAGAUGGAAGGAGAGUCAAGAAACCAAAUUAAAGCACACAUUUCAAGUAAUGUAAUGUGCAUCUGGCAUGUUUAGGUAUGAUUCAGAACAUGUCUGUCUGAGCGUUAUUGGAUUGCUUUAUAAAGGUGUUUUCUAGAGGGCACGGACCAUGUGGGGUGAGCAGGUGUGCUCUCUCUCUCCCCCAGCACACAGAUAUACUCCCCCAAUACUGCAAAACCACGUCUUUCCAGAAUGCCCACCUGUAUCAAAUGGCUCUCAGCACGGAGUUCUGAAUGUCUUCUGGUUGUAAAACCACUGAAACAAGUAAGAAUAAAUGAUCCUGAGACUAAGUCCCCAUAAUUAUCACUGCAGAGCCUGGUCAUGCUCAUGGUCACGAUUACCUUUAGCUUUAGUUGCCUUUCGUUUGCUCUGGUGAGAAAAUCAGCCAGGCAAACUCCCCCUUUUCCCAUCUUCUCUGUAGACUAAAGAAAAGUCAGUCACUCUCUUCUCUUUGUAAUAACCUGGCAGCAGUAUGUGUCUGUGUGUGUACGAAUGUGUAUGCAAGCAUAUGUGAUACAAGUGUGUGUCUAUGGGUUAUGCAUGUGCAUAUAUGUGUGUAUACAUGCUCAUGUGUGUACCUGUGUGGGGGCUUAUGUGUAUGUGUUUUUAAGGGGGAAGAGUUGCUAAUGUAGAAGUGUUUUGUUGCAAAAAUCUUUAGUGUUUCCACAUUGUGAGAGGUAGGCUCUCGGCAGGGCCUUCUCUGUCCUUCCUGUCACUGCAAAGGCCUGUUGAGUGGGACAUCACUGACCUCACUGUGUUGGCUGAGGGGUUCGAGCUAAGGGAGACUGGUUUGUGUGCAGUAAAAUGUGAAGGAGCAUUGCCUAAGACUAAAUGCCCCAGGACAUUAGACUUGACCUCUGUAUAAUGCUUUACAGUUUACUAAAAUGUUUCCAUCUAGGUUAAUUUGUUUAAUAAAGAUAUGGUCUUCGAGUUCUGGUUGCGGCUCAGUGGGUUAAGA
Sus scrofa (pig) is the source of this 2339-nucleotide non-coding RNA. The record is from RefSeq and is a predicted model, not a curated record. Lineage: Eukaryota; Metazoa; Chordata; Mammalia; Artiodactyla; Suidae.